AGUGAACGCUGGCGGCAGGCCUAACACAUGCAAGUCGAACGGUAGCACAGAGGAGCUUGCUCCUUGGGUGACGAGUGGCGGACGGGUGAGGAAUACAUCGGAAUCUACCCUGUCGUGGGGGAUAACGUAGGGAAACUUACGCUAAUACCGCAUACGAACUGAGGUUGAAAGCGGCGGACCGCAAGGCGUCGCGCGAUUGGAUGAGCCGAUGUCCGAUUAGCUAGUUGGCGGGGUAAUGGCCCACCAAGGCGACGAUCGGUAGCUGGUCUGAGAGGAUGAUCAGCCACACUGGAACUGAGACACGGUCCAGACUCCUACGGGAGGCAGCAGUGGGGAAUAUUGGACAAUGGGCGCAAGCCUGAUCCAGCCAUGCCGCGUGUGUGAAGAAGGCCUUCGGGUUGUAAAGCACUUUGUUGGGUAAAGAAAGUACCUGUCGGUUAAUACCCGCGGGGCGUGACGGUACCCAAAGAAUAAG
RNAcentral lists this ribosomal RNA (475 nucleotides) under uncultured bacterium. RNAcentral describes it as "bacterial SSU rRNA". It matches the Rfam family "Bacterial small subunit ribosomal RNA", at positions 29 to 490 of the family's 1533-position model. The record is from RNAcentral.